RNAcentral lists this ribosomal RNA (483 nucleotides) under Escherichia coli. RNAcentral's name for it is "partial 23S ribosomal RNA". It matches the Rfam family "Bacterial large subunit ribosomal RNA", at positions 1 to 523 of the family's 2925-position model. Lineage: Bacteria; Pseudomonadati; Pseudomonadota; Gammaproteobacteria; Enterobacterales; Enterobacteriaceae. The record is from RNAcentral.
GGUUAAGCGACUAAGCGUACACGGUGGAUGCCCUGGCAGUCAGAGGCGAUGAAGGACGUGCUAAUCUGCGAUAAGCGUCGGUAAGGUGAUAUGAACCGUUAUAACCGGCGAUUUCCGAAUGGGGAAACCCAGUGUGAUUCGUCACACUAUCAUUAACUGAAUCCAUAGGUUAAUGAGGCGAACCGGGGGAACUGAAACAUCUAAGUACCCCGAGGAAAAGAAAUCAACCGAGAUUCCCCCAGUAGCGGCGAGCGAACGGGGAGCAGCCCAGAGCCUGAAUCAGUGUGUGUGUUAGUGGAAGCGUCUGGAAAGGCGCGCGAUACAGGGUGACAGCCCCGUACACAAAAAUGCACAUGCUGUGAGCUCGAUGAGUAGGGCGGGACACGUGGUAUCCUGUCUGAAUAUGGGGGGACCAUCCUCCAAGGCUAAAUACUCCUGACUGACCGAUAGUGAACCAGUACCGUGAGGGAAAGGCGAAAAGAA